AUUGAACGCUGGCGGCAUGCUUUACACAUGCAAGUCGAACGGCAGCGGGGAGGAGCUUGCUUCUCUGCCGGCGAGUGGCGAACGGGUGAGUAAUACAUCGGAACGUGUCGAGAAGAGGGGGAUAACCACCCGAAAGGGUGGCUAAUACCGCAUAAAUUCUGAGGAAGAAAGCUGGGGACCUAGGAAUAGGCCUAGCGCUUUUUGAGCGGCCGAUGUCGGAUUAGCUAGUUGGUGAGGUAAAGGCUCACCAAGGCGAAGAUCUGUAGCGGGUCUGAGAGGAUGAUCCGCCACACUGGGACUGAGACACGGCCCAGACUCCUACGGGAGGCAGCAGUGGGGAAUUUUGGACAAUGGGGGCAACCCUGAUCCAGCCAUGCCGCGUGUAUGAAGAAGGCCUUAGGGUUGUAAAGUACUUUUGUUAGGGGAGAAAAGUCAGCUGUGAAUAAUGGCUGAUACUGACGGUACCUAAAGAAUAAGCACCGGCUAACUACGUG
This 494-nucleotide ribosomal RNA is filed under the name uncultured bacterium. Its description in RNAcentral is "partial 16S ribosomal RNA". It matches the Rfam family "Bacterial small subunit ribosomal RNA", at positions 30 to 507 of the family's 1533-position model. The record is from RNAcentral.